This 520-nucleotide ribosomal RNA is filed under the name uncultured Archaeospora. RNAcentral's name for it is "SSU rRNA". It matches the Rfam family "Eukaryotic small subunit ribosomal RNA", at positions 569 to 1093 of the family's 1831-position model. The record is from RNAcentral. Lineage: Eukaryota; Fungi; Glomeromycota; Glomeromycetes; Archaeosporales; Archaeosporaceae.
AGCAGCCGCGGUAAUUCCAGCUCCAAUAGCGUAUAUUAAAGUUGUUGCAGUUAAAAAGCUCGUAGUUGAAUUUUAGGCCUGGCCAGGCGGUCCGUCUUUGGCGAGUACUGUCUUGUGUCGGGUCUUCCUUCUGGUGAACCUGUAUGUCCUUUAUUGGGUGUGCUGGGGAGCCAGGACCAUUACCUUGAAAAAAUUAGAGUGUUUAAAGCGGGCUAUUGCUUGAAUAGAUUAGCAUGGAAUAAUAGAAUAGGACGUUGUGGUUCUAUUUUGUUGGUUUCUAGGACCACCGUAAUGAUUAAUAGGGAUAGUUGGGGGCAUUAGUAUUCAAUUGUCAGAGGUGAAAUUCUUGGAUUUAUUGAAGACUAACUACUGCGAAAGCAUUUGCCAAGGAUGUUUUCAUUAAUCAAGAACGAAAGUUAGGGGAUCGAAGACGAUCAGAUACCGUCGUAGUCUUAACCAUAAACUAUGCCGACUAGGAAUCGGGCGACGUUAUUUUCAUGACUCGCUCGGCGCCUUAUGG